RNAcentral lists this ribosomal RNA (864 nucleotides) under Capnocytophaga sp. 98b. Its description in RNAcentral is "bacterial SSU rRNA". It matches the Rfam family "Bacterial small subunit ribosomal RNA", at positions 9 to 873 of the family's 1533-position model. Lineage: Bacteria; Pseudomonadati; Bacteroidota; Flavobacteriia; Flavobacteriales; Flavobacteriaceae. The record is from RNAcentral.
AGAGUUUGAUCAUGGCUCAGGAUGAACGCUAGCGGCAGGCCUAACACAUGCAAGUCGAGGGGUAAGAAGAGCUUGCUCUUCCUAGACCGGCGUACGGGUGCGUAACGCGUGUACAAUCUACCUUUUACAGAGGGAUAACCUGAAGAAAUUUGGACUAAUACCUCAUAGAAUUACUUUAUGGCAUCAUAGGGUAAUUAAAGCUACGCUGGUAAAAGAUGAGUACGCGUUCUAUUAGCUAGUUGGAGUGGUAACGGCACCCCAAGGCUACGAUAGAUAGGGGUCCUGAGAGGGAGAUCCCCCACACUGGUACUGAGACAGGGACCAGACUCCUACGGGAGGCAGCAGUGAGGAAUAUUGGUCAAUGGUCGGAAGACUGAACCAGCCAUGCCGCGUGCAGGAAGACGGCCUUAUGGGUUGUAAACUGCUUUUGCAAGGGAAGAAUAAGCUCUACGAGUAGAGUGAUGACGGUACUUUGCGAAUAAGCAUCGGCUAACUCCGUGCCAGCAGCCGCGGUAAUACGGAGGAUGCGAGCGUUAUCCGGAAUCAUUGGGUCUAAAGGGUCUGUAGGCGGGUUGUUAAGUCAGGGGUGAAAGUUUGCGGCUUAACCGUAAAAUUGCCUUUGAUACUGGCUAUCUUGAAUUAUUGUGAAGUUGUUAGAAUGUGUAGUGUAGCGGUGAAAUGCAUAGAUAUUACACAGAAUACCGAUUGCGAAGGCAGAUGACUAACAAUAGAUUGACGCUGAGAGGCGAAAGCGUGGGGAGCGAACAGGAUUAGAUACCCUGGUAGUCCACGCCGUAAACGAUGGAUACUAGCUGUUUGGCAUUAUAGUUGAGUGGCUAAGCGAAAGUGAUAAGUAUCCCACCU